Molecule: transfer RNA, 71 nt
Filed under: Strophurus intermedius (Southern spiny-tailed gecko)
Lineage: Eukaryota; Metazoa; Chordata; Lepidosauria; Squamata; Diplodactylidae
Description: tRNA-Tyr
Rfam family: tRNA
About the family: Transfer RNA (tRNA) molecules are approximately 80 nucleotides in length.
Source: RNAcentral
AGGUAGAAUGGCCGAGUGGUUAGGCGGCAGGCUGUAGUCCUGCAAACAUGGGUUUGAGUCCUGUUUCUAUC